This 1113-nucleotide long non-coding RNA is filed under the name Podarcis muralis (Common wall lizard). RNAcentral describes it as "lncRNA (ENSPMRG00000000729.1)". Lineage: Eukaryota; Metazoa; Chordata; Lepidosauria; Squamata; Lacertidae. The record is from RNAcentral.
AUGGAGAAGGUUACAGUUUCAGCUGGGAAAGGAAAGGCCGGGUUGGCUGCGGAGAGGGAGAGACUGGAGAAAAAAUAUAUCGGAACCUAUCCAAAGGAACGGUGGAUCCUGCGCAAAGAGGGAGAGACAUGUGCUGCCCUAAGAAUCGAGCGUCGGACUAAGAGAAAAACGACCAGAUUUUCUCGAUCCGCGUACCCAUGGAAUAUAUCCAAAGAACAGUCUUUCCCUCAAAGAAUUCUGGGCACCGUAGUUUUCUCCUCGCAGGGUGACAAUUGCCAGCAGCCCAUCCUAAACUACAGAGCCCAGAAUUCUUUGAGGGUGAGGAAUGUUCUUUGGGCGCCCUUUCACUGCGAUUCCUGCGUGGCAGAAGGUAGACUAGAAUGGCACUUGGAGAUCCCUCUCCACUCUACAGGUUUACGGUUCUAUAAAGGUCCAGUACGCGCGCGCGCAAAAUAUAUAUAUCUGGGAAGAGUUGGCGGGGAGAGAAGCGGCGGCGGCGGCGAGCAAGAGGGAAAAAAUCAAGAAAAAUGGUCUGCAAGAGAGAGAGAUAGAGAUCCAACCGACCUGCUUUCUUCCGUCUCCGUUUGCCUGCUCCGAGUCGGGCUCUCUUCCCCGCGAAGCCGGUUCCACUCCGGAGCAGCGCCGAGGCGCAGCCUGCUGUGUCAGCGCCCGCGCUCCGGGGGCCAGGGAGCCUUGAUCACGCUGGUCACCCAGCUGAAAAACACUCGAAAAAAAGUCCGCAAGUGGCCCGCGGGAGGCUCCUGGCCCGUCUCUGCAGGCUGCCUGCCUCGGGCGGCCGCAGGAGCAACACGCCUCGCUCCUGCCGGAGGAGAGAAAGAGAGAGGUGCAAAGGCGUCAGGCGCCUCCGGCCCAGCCCCCUCGCCCAGGACCUCGCCAAGCAAGGCUUCUGCUGACGCUUCCCACCUCUUCCCUCCUCCUCCUCCGGUCCUCCCCCUCCCCUUUCCCCACUUUCUUGCCUCCUGGCCUCGCCACACCAUAGGAACACACAGGGAGUUGCUUUCCCAUGACUCAGACCAAUGUCCAGCCAACUCAGUGGCGUCUGCACGGGCCGGCAGCAGCAGGGUUUCAGGCAAGGAGGAGGCACCCUGCUAG